RNAcentral lists this transfer RNA (71 nucleotides) under Planctomycetaceae bacterium SCGC AG-212-F19. It matches the Rfam family "tRNA". Rfam says of the family: Transfer RNA (tRNA) molecules are approximately 80 nucleotides in length. Their secondary structure includes four short double-helical elements and three loops (D, anti-codon, and T loops). Lineage: Bacteria; Pseudomonadati; Planctomycetota; Planctomycetia; Planctomycetales; Planctomycetaceae. The record is from Rfam by way of RNAcentral.
GGGCUGCUGGUCGAAUGGGAAGACGCCGACCUCGCGCGUCGGAAAUCGGGGUUCAACUCCCCGGCGGUCCA